AGAGAUGGAUUGGUGCCUUCGGGAACUGUGAGACAGGUGCUGCAUGGCUGUCGUCAGCUCGUGUUGUGAAAUGUUGGGUUAAGUCCCGCAACGAGCGCAACCCUUAUCCUUUGUUGCCAGCGAUUAGGUCGGGAACUCAAAGGAGACUGCCAGUGAUAAACUGGAGGAAGGUGGGGAUGACGUCAAGUCAUCAUGGCCCUUACGACCAGGGCUACACACGUGCUACAAUGGCGCAUACAAAGAGAAGCGACCUCGCGAGAGCAAGCGGACCUCAUAAAGUGCGUCGUAGUCCGGAUUGGAGUCUGCAACUCGACUCCAUGAAGUCGGAAUCGCUAGUAAUCGUGGAUCAGAAUGCCACGGUGAAUACGUUCCCGGGCCUUGUACACAC
RNAcentral lists this ribosomal RNA (388 nucleotides) under Salmonella enterica subsp. enterica. RNAcentral describes it as "bacterial SSU rRNA". It matches the Rfam family "Bacterial small subunit ribosomal RNA", at positions 1002 to 1390 of the family's 1533-position model. Lineage: Bacteria; Pseudomonadati; Pseudomonadota; Gammaproteobacteria; Enterobacterales; Enterobacteriaceae. The record is from RNAcentral.